Molecule: long non-coding RNA, 723 nt
Filed under: Heterocephalus glaber (naked mole-rat)
Lineage: Eukaryota; Metazoa; Chordata; Mammalia; Rodentia; Bathyergidae
Description: lncRNA (ENSHGLG00000043347.1)
Source: RNAcentral
CUCUUGGGAGGUGGAAGACUAAGUCACUGGGCGCAUGUCUUUGAAGGGUACAUCUGGUCCUUGGCCCCUUCCUCUCAGGCUCUUUCACCAUCUCUUCUUCCUGUUUGCUAUGAGAGCUGCAGAAAGCCUCAGUUCAGACAGAAUCUAUAGAUGAAUAAUACAACCUACCAAUCACCCCUGCCAUGUUCUACCUGCUGAGGUGUGACAGAUAACUCACACCCUGUGGGCCAAAGGGUGCUGGAUAGGAAGAGCAGCUAGGGAGCAAAAAGUGAGGUCACUGUCUGUUGGGAUGUUCCUGAGAUCCUGGUUGGUUGCUUGGUUGACUUUAGCUACUGAGCAUAAAAAAUUUCUCAGUGAUGCUGCUGAUCCUGCUACAAAUCAGAAUUGCUCAGUUUGAAGCACCUGUCUGGGGCAGGGGUCCUCACACAGAGCUGCUCAGACAUGCUUCUUGGAGCUAGGCUGAGAAGUAUCUAGCACCUCUCUCCCUCCUGAUGACAACAAGAGGAUGAAGCCAGCCAGAGAUCUUGCAGGAAUGACAGCAUCAGUAGAAGCUGAAGUCACUGCUGGAUAAACAUGAGAUGAACAUCAGUGGAAAAUCAGCUUCUGGGUUAUAAAGAAAAUGGAGAAAGUCUUAUAAGCACAACAGAUUGGAAAACUAAAAUAAAGAUACAUCUGUGUUUCCCAGGUUUCACAGAGCCCAUAACCGAUUAACAAACCCACUGC